UUUCCGUAGGUGAACCUGCGGAAGGAUCAUUACCUUAGCUUGGGCCCCUCAAGGGCCUUCUGUGGCGCCUUCGGGCGUCCGCAGUUAAACCCCUGUGAAGAACCUUUGUUGCUUCGGCAGCGCUUCCCCGCCACCGGCGGGGGGGGUCAGCCUGCCGACGGCACCCCGGAAACCCAUUUGCAAUGAAGUAACGUCUGAUUUUAUAGUCGAAUGACUGUUAAAACUUUCAACAACGGAUCUCUUGGUUCCC
RNAcentral lists this unclassified non-coding RNA (250 nucleotides) under plant metagenome. RNAcentral describes it as "partial contains small subunit ribosomal RNA, internal transcribed spacer 1, and 5.8S ribosomal RNA". The record is from RNAcentral.